UGCCAGCAGCCGCGGUAAUACGGAGGGUGCAAGCGUUGUUCGGAAUUAUUGGGCGUAAAGCGCGUGUAGGCGGUCUGUUAAGUCUGAUGUGAAAGCCCGGGGCUCAACCCCGGAAGUGCAUUGGAUACUGGCAGACUUGAGUACGGGAGAGGGAAGUGGAAUUCCGAGUGUAGGAGUGAAAUCCGUAGAUAUUCGGAGGAACACCGGUGGCGAAGGCGGCUUCCUGGACCGAUACUGACGCUGAGACGCGAAAGCGUGGGGAGCAAACAGGAUUAGAUA
This 279-nucleotide ribosomal RNA is filed under the name uncultured bacterium. RNAcentral describes it as "partial 16S ribosomal RNA". It matches the Rfam family "Bacterial small subunit ribosomal RNA", at positions 506 to 784 of the family's 1533-position model. The record is from RNAcentral.